GGGGUUGUGGCUCAGUGGUAUAGCACUCGUUUAGCAUGCGUGAGGCACUGGGUUCAAUCCCCAGCACCACA
RNAcentral lists this transfer RNA (71 nucleotides) under Marmota monax (woodchuck). RNAcentral's name for it is "tRNA.Ala". It matches the Rfam family "tRNA". From Rfam's summary of the family: Transfer RNA (tRNA) molecules are approximately 80 nucleotides in length. Their secondary structure includes four short double-helical elements and three loops (D, anti-codon, and T loops). The record is from RNAcentral. Lineage: Eukaryota; Metazoa; Chordata; Mammalia; Rodentia; Sciuridae.